CCUGUACUUUCUAUAAAUGUGAUGGAGUGACGGGGGAGGAUAGUACUACCACUUACUGGAUUGUGGGGUAAAUAGUAACUGGGUUAUGUAGGCAAAUCCGCAUAACUUAACCGGGAGCUAUGAUGCAUAGUGAAAGGGCAACCAAGUAGCGAAUUGGAUGAUUCCAUACCUCUUAAAAAAGCUUCUAACAUUAAGUUUAUAUGAAACCCGUACCGAGAACGGACACACGUCCCCAAGAUGAGUAUUCUAAGGCGAGCGAGAAAACCAAUGUCAAGGAACUCUGCAAAUUCAUCCCGUAAGUUCGCAAGAAGGGAUGCCCACCCUAGAAAGUGGGCCGCAGUGAAUAGUAAGGGGGAACUGUUUAUCAAAAACACAGCUCUAUGCUAAGUCGUAAGACGAUGUAUAUGGGGUGACUCCUGCCCAGUGCCCGAAGGUUAAGCAAAGGUGUUAG
RNAcentral lists this ribosomal RNA (451 nucleotides) under Metamycoplasma gateae. Its description in RNAcentral is "bacterial LSU rRNA". It matches the Rfam family "Bacterial large subunit ribosomal RNA", at positions 1438 to 1893 of the family's 2925-position model. Lineage: Bacteria; Bacillati; Mycoplasmatota; Mycoplasmoidales; Metamycoplasmataceae. The record is from RNAcentral.